RNAcentral lists this long non-coding RNA (538 nucleotides) under Prunus persica (peach). RNAcentral's name for it is "long non-coding RNA (PPER_LNC008026)". The record is from RNAcentral. Lineage: Eukaryota; Viridiplantae; Streptophyta; Magnoliopsida; Rosales; Rosaceae.
GAACCCCCGACUAGCGAAGGGCUUGCCCCGACGAGUGUACCGAAGGUCAUGCUUCGGCAAGCGUGCUAAAAGCUCAUCAUAUGAGUUCGGGGUCCGACUAAAUAACGUCACUCCACUCAGAGAUGCAGAAAAUAUCUCGCUCCGAUCAACGGUGGCAUGGGAUAUGCCCUCAGCGACUAUGCCAAGGACCACUACUAAAGCGCACACAUUAGGUAGCCAACAUAGAUUGUCCAGUCGAUUACAAGACAUGUGUCGCCACCACAGCUAUUUGCAAAAGUCGCACAUUGAAAAAAUGUGCAAAUAUCCCACACAUUUUUGCCUAUAAAAGUGCAUUGUUCCCAAAAUGGAAAGGUAAUUAAUUUAACACACUACGGUUACUCUACUAAAAUCGUUUCUAAUCCCAUCCCAUAUGUAUGACCAAAAAAAAAUAUUUCCCAUCCCAUACGUAACUAACUUAAGCAUCAGAGAGCGUUCUGCUAGUACCACACCAAUGUCAAGAUCUUGAUGACGAUUGCUCCUUCUUUACCUUUGCAUAUCU